GGAGAAUUUGGCUAUCGAUUGUGAGAUCCUGUGGAGAAGAAGAUUAUGCGUAGCUGUGAUGUUGUUUUCUUGGAAGAUCAAACGAUCGAUGACUUCGAGAAACCUAACAAGCCAAAGUCAACCCCGAGCAGCCCUAUAGACUUUUGCCCAGAUACAUCCCCAAGGAGCCUUGAUGAUGGGUGAGCAACUGUAGAUGACAGUACAAAUGACAGUCACAAAGCUGAGGAGAGUGCGGGUGGUGUUCAAACGGAGGCACACACUGAACCAUCUGUACAAGAGAUUCAGAGAUCCACAAG
Molecule: long non-coding RNA, 296 nt
Filed under: Elaeis guineensis (African oil palm)
Lineage: Eukaryota; Viridiplantae; Streptophyta; Magnoliopsida; Arecales; Arecaceae
Description: long non-coding RNA (EGUI_LNC050783)
Source: RNAcentral